This 482-nucleotide ribosomal RNA is filed under the name uncultured bacterium. RNAcentral's name for it is "partial 16S ribosomal RNA". It matches the Rfam family "Bacterial small subunit ribosomal RNA", at positions 30 to 507 of the family's 1533-position model. The record is from RNAcentral.
AUUGAACGCUGGCGGCAUGCUUUACACAUGCAAGUCGAACGGUAACAGCACUUCGGUGGCUGACGAGUGGCGAACGGGUGAGUAAUACAUCGGAACGUGCCUAGUAGUGGGGGAUAACUACUCGAAAGAGUAGCUAAUACCGCAUGAGAUCUAAGGAUGAAAGCAGGGGACCUUCGGGCCUUGCGCUACUAGAGCGGCUGAUGGCAGAUUAGGUAGUUGGUGGGAUAAAAGCUUACCAAGCCGACGAUCUGUAGCUGGACUGAGAGGACGACCAGCCACACUGGGACUGAGACACGGCCCAGACUCCUACGGGAGGCAGCAGUGGGGAAUUUUGGACAAUGGGCGCAAGCCUGAUCCAGCAAUGCCGCGUGCAGGAUGAAGGCCUUCGGGUUGUAAACUGCUUUUGUACGGAACGAAAAGCCCUCUUCUAAUACAGGAGGGUCAUGACGGUACCGGAAGAAUAAGCACCGGCUAACUACGUG